Molecule: ribosomal RNA, 253 nt
Filed under: uncultured bacterium
Lineage: Bacteria
Description: partial 16S ribosomal RNA
Rfam family: Bacterial small subunit ribosomal RNA
Source: RNAcentral
UACGAAGGGGGCUAGCGUUGUUCGGAAUUACUGGGCGUAAAGCGCACGUAGGCGGAUACUUAAGUCAGGGGUGAAAUCCCGGGGCUCAACCCCGGAACUGCCUUUGAUACUGGGUAUCUCGAGUCCGAGAGAGGUGAGUGGAAUUCCGAGUGUAGAGGUGAAAUUCGUAGAUAUUCGCAAGAACACCAGUGGCGAAGGCGGCUCACUGGCCCGAUACUGACGCUGAGGCACGAAAGCGUGGGGAGCAAACAGG